AGGCUAGGCUGUAAUAUUAGGUAAAAUCUAAUUUCAGUUUGGUUAUCACAUAGCGUUCAUUUCCCUAAGGGAGGAGAAAAAAUUAAAUUUGUAAGCUUAAGAUUCCAGCUGAAGUACUCGUUCUGCUUUCUGUUUUCUCUGAAAGAGCCGUGA
This 153-nucleotide long non-coding RNA is filed under the name Macaca fascicularis (crab-eating macaque). RNAcentral's name for it is "lncRNA (ENSMFAG00000063060.1)". The record is from RNAcentral. Lineage: Eukaryota; Metazoa; Chordata; Mammalia; Primates; Cercopithecidae.